This 253-nucleotide ribosomal RNA is filed under the name uncultured bacterium. RNAcentral describes it as "partial 16S ribosomal RNA". It matches the Rfam family "Bacterial small subunit ribosomal RNA", at positions 524 to 776 of the family's 1533-position model. The record is from RNAcentral.
UACGUAGGUGGCAAUCGUUGUCCGGAUUUACUGGGCGUAACGAGCGCGCAGGCGGUCGUUCAAGUCGCGUGUGAAAGCCCCCGGCUCAACUGGGGAGGGUCACGCGAUACUGAUCGACUCGAAGGCAGGAGAGGGUAGUGGAAUUCCCGGUGUAGUGGUGAAAUGCGUAGAUAUCGGGAGGAACACCAGUGGCGAAGGCGGAUCUCUGGGCCUUACCUGACGCUGAGGCGCGAAAGCGUGGGGAGCAAACAGG